Molecule: small RNA, 1020 nt
Filed under: Histoplasma capsulatum var. duboisii H88
Lineage: Eukaryota; Fungi; Ascomycota; Eurotiomycetes; Onygenales; Ajellomycetaceae
Description: Histoplasma capsulatum H88 hypothetical RNA
Source: RNAcentral
UUGAGCCAUUGUGCGCGUUCUGUCCGUCAGGCUUGUCAGAGCGGCUUGUCUGUGGCAUUGUCCACAUUUAUCCACCCAUCUAAUCGGAUUUACAGGGCGGGGAAGGUUAUGGUUUGCUCCACGCAUUGUUUGGAUGGAGGCUGGCUAUCGGGACGUGGUCGGCCCGGGCAAUCUACCCGCUGGCCUCUUUCUGGCGGGCAACUACACGCAAAAGCACCGUUCAGGCCUUUUUGAUACUGAAUAAAGAGUCGCAACUGCAUGCUAGCUGUUAUAGAAGCCUAUGUUCUAUACAUAGCUAAAAACCCCUAGGGAUGCCAGCGACUGGAUCUAUUAUGGCAAUACACUACAAAGAAAAUAGGUAGUAAGUUCCACUGCGCCUACAGCAGCUGAUUGAUUGUCCAGUUGAAAUUCAUUCACAACCUUCACACAGAGCAGGUCCUCGCGACAAGCAUUAAGCAUUAUAUAUGUCCUUUUUGCCGGAGCUGUAGUGGGUGUUGAUGAUGGAUCUUAUUGUCUCGUUAACUUCCGCCCCAUACCAUGAUCGAGGAGACGUUCUGGCAAUUUCCUUAUCCAUCCCCCUUGUUUUGUUUCGAUAUGCUGUUUACAAGAGAAAGCUUGCGCAAUUUCCUUUGCUCCAAGUAUAAGAGGAGUAGAAUAAGAGAAAGAAAAAUCAUAGCUGUGGCCAGUUGCAUGUAAUAAUUGAAGCCAAACGCUCGCUCUAUAAUCCAAGUGAAGUAUAAAUAGUUGAAAGUUUCUAUAAUCCAGACAAAAAGGAAGGGGUGGAAAUGUUAUGGUCGGGAAAUUGGAGGGUAGCUGAGACCAGCGAACCAUCGACAAACUGGGAUUGAGAAUUGGAAAAUAUACAACAGAUGAAGUAUUAACAGAAUUGUACAGGGUAACUAUUGCGUAUGGACUAUGACUCAGAAUUUGGAAAACUGAAGUUCAUAACAGUGCAAUGCACGACGAGGGUUUAGGCGCGUCAAAACGUGUAUUGAAACUGGGGGGAAGGUAUUAGGGGGG